Cyprinus carpio (common carp) is the source of this 1069-nucleotide long non-coding RNA. The record is from Ensembl. NCBI's taxonomy places the organism in Eukaryota, Metazoa, Chordata, Actinopteri, Cypriniformes, Cyprinidae.
CUCUCUCUCCCUCAGGCUGGAAUUGUAUGAUUGUGAAGACAUCGCGAACCUUAAAGGUUGAGAAGUGAACGGAUUAUACGGCGAACUGAGACGACGUGAAAAAGGGGAUUGGAAGCGGCAUUGAUGUGAGUACUAAGAGCCAGUCGAAAGUGCCCUGUAUAUUGACCUGGCGUUGUGUAGAUCUCUCCAGGAGGAGGAGGGCGGCCCUACCCCUAAUAUAGCGUGGUGGGAGAGCCGAAGGAAUACUUAUUGAAGUAGUCACAACGACGACAUCACUAGCUAGGCCGCAUAUUCCAUCGCCAGAUCCGAACCAAGCGAAGUGAAGGAAGACGGGUGUCCUUUUCGUACACUGAGUGUGGUGGGUGAGUCUUCGUGCUGUGAAAACCUAUAAUUUUGACGUGGUGUUGUAUAUUGCUGUGGGCUGCUGUGUAUUGCCGUGUGUCCUGUCAGAUAAACCCCCGCCUUCACGCACUUCGUCGCGGGAGGACAAGGAGACUGCUGGUCCUAGCCUAGUUCAGUACAGUAUAUGUUGUGAGCGUGCUUCAGAUCUCCGGAGAUAGCACGGUACGCUGUGUCCAGCCCAGAGGUGAAAGCCAUCCAAAGCAGAGUAACUGUGCUUUGUGUCCAAGUUGAUACCUGUGGAGAGGAAAGGAAAGAGAGAUUGAUACCUGUGGAGAGAAAAGGAGAGAGAGUGGGUAACACGAGGAGAGACCGAGGAAACCUGUACUUACGCCGCUGCCUGUGGAGAAAGAGAAAGCGACCGUUGCCUGUGGAGGAAGAGAAAGAGAGUGAGCACCCCGAGAACGAACUGUGUGAACCAGUACUUACCGUGAGCUGUAUUCAGCGAAGAGGAGGAAGAAGGAGGGCGCUACGGAUACCUAAGACUCAGGCCGGGGCCCGAGUCCCACGCCCCGGAUCCCCGUGGCCCCCUUGCUCCCUGACCUCUUCCCGGCCAUAGCCCAUCUGGAGGGCCGAGUCAGAGUUUAGUUUUAAUUGCCCUUUCCCUAUUCCCCAAGCUAUUUUUAAAUAUUUAAAUAAAGAUUGUUUUAUCACUUACUUGUUCUCGUGU